UACGGGAGGCAGCAGUGGGGAAUAUUGCACAAUGGGCGCAAGCCUGAUGCAGCCAUGCCGCGUGUAUGAAGAAGGCCUUCGGGUUGUAAAGUACUUUCAGCGGGGAGGAAGGCGAUGCGGUUAAUAACCGCGUCGAUUGACGUUACCCGCAGAAGAAGCACCGGCUAACUCCGUGCCAGCAGCCGCGGUAAUACGGAGGGUGCAAGCGUUAAUCGGAAUUACUGGGCGUAAAGCGCACGCAGGCGGUCUGUUAAGUCAGAUGUGAAAUCCCCGGGCUUAACCUGGGAACUGCAUUUUGAAACUGGCAGGCUUGAGUCUUGUAGAGGGGGUAGAAUUCCAGGUGUAGCGGUGAAUGCGUAGAGAUCUGGAGGAAUACCGGUGGCGAAGGCGGCCCCUGGGACAAGACUGACGCUCAGGUGCGAAAGCGUGGGGAGCAAACAGGAUUAGAUACC
This 452-nucleotide ribosomal RNA is filed under the name uncultured bacterium. RNAcentral describes it as "bacterial SSU rRNA". It matches the Rfam family "Bacterial small subunit ribosomal RNA", at positions 340 to 786 of the family's 1533-position model. The record is from RNAcentral.